Molecule: long non-coding RNA, 449 nt
Filed under: Mytilus galloprovincialis (Mediterranean mussel)
Lineage: Eukaryota; Metazoa; Mollusca; Bivalvia; Mytilida; Mytilidae
Source: RNAcentral
AAUGUAUCUAACAAUUCAAACAAGAAAACUAACUGUCUUAUCACAAAAAUGAACGAAAAAAAAUAUGUAACACAUCGACAAGCGACAACCAUUGAAUGACAGGCUCUUGCCUAUGGGGAGAAGCACAUAUAUGAUGUGGCGGGGUUAGACAUCUUAGCAGGAUCCCAAACCAUCCCCUUUCCUGGGACAGUGGUGUAAAAUUACAAUAUAAGAACGGACAAUAAAAAUCAGUUGAAAAAGGCUUAACUCAUCAGAUGGAUACAAUCAGAAAUUCUACACUUGUAUAUCCCAUACAACAACCCCAAAAAACCCACUAAGCACAGAAUACACGUUUGAAAAAAAAGAAAAGAAUAUCAAACACAAUACGUAUUUCAAAAAUAAAUACGCUCCAUGAUAAGAAACAAAAAAAUAAUAACGAGAAAACAGUAAAAGAAAAAUAAUACCCAACA